RNAcentral lists this long non-coding RNA (239 nucleotides) under Capsicum annuum. Its description in RNAcentral is "long non-coding RNA (CANN_LNC004141)". Lineage: Eukaryota; Viridiplantae; Streptophyta; Magnoliopsida; Solanales; Solanaceae. The record is from RNAcentral.
AACACUCUACCGUCCUCCCCCUUAAUGCACCUCACCUUAUCGAGGUCACGACCCUUCCUCUCCCUAGCCUUAGCGAGUCUAAACAACUUUUUCUCCCCUCCCUUCCCCUGUAACCCUGCAUACAAGCUCUCAAAGGCGGCCGUCUUAGCUGCCGUGACUGCUGACUUAGCCUCCUUCCUCGCUAGCUUGUACUCUUUCCUGUUUACCCGCUUCUCCUCUUCGUCCUUACUCUCCACCAA